UCCAGUGCAAUGUGGGAUAGAAGUGG
This 26-nucleotide non-coding RNA is filed under the name Homo sapiens (human). The record is from RNAcentral. Lineage: Eukaryota; Metazoa; Chordata; Mammalia; Primates; Hominidae.